AUUGAACGCUGGCGGAAUGCUUUACACAUGCAAGUCGAGCGGCAGCGCGGGGGCAACCCUGGCGGCGAGCGGCGAACGGGUGAGUAAUACAUCGGAACGUGUCCUUAAGUGGGGGAUAGCUCGGCGAAAGCCGGAUUAAUACCGCAUAAGCUCUGAGGAGGAAAGCGGGGGAUUCGCAAGGACCUCGCGCUGUUGGAGCGGCCGAUGUCGGAUUAGCUAGUUGGUGGGGAAAGGCCCACCAAGGCGACGAUCCGUAGCUGGCCUGAGAGGAUGAUCAGCCACACUGGAACUGAGACACGGUCCAGACUCCUACGGGAGGCAGCAGUGGGGAAUUUGGACAAUGGGGGCAACCCUGAUCCAGCCAUUCCGCGUG
Molecule: ribosomal RNA, 373 nt
Filed under: uncultured bacterium
Lineage: Bacteria
Description: bacterial SSU rRNA
Rfam family: Bacterial small subunit ribosomal RNA
Source: RNAcentral